RNAcentral lists this long non-coding RNA (682 nucleotides) under Gallus gallus (chicken). Its description in RNAcentral is "long non-coding RNA NONGGAT002985". The record is from RNAcentral. Lineage: Eukaryota; Metazoa; Chordata; Aves; Galliformes; Phasianidae.
GGAAGCAUAGAGGGCAGAGGCAGAGCUGCAAAGCCCCCUCCUCAGCUCUUCCUCUGGGCACAGCGCUGCCCAGGGUGUCAAUCAGGACUUUAUCUCGGGCCGAAGGAGAAAAUAAAAGAAGAUAAGGCCUCGCUCUCACCCUGGGAAGAAAGCUAAUGGGGCAAGAGGGGGAAAGUCUUCAGCGCCCCGUGCCUCUCCCGGAUAGUGUUCUUGUAGUGACCUUGAGCUGCUGCCGGGGUGGGCAGAAGGGCCUGAGCCGAGCGGCUGCUCCCAUCCUCUGCCCGAGGGACACCUGCGAUUUUCAGUUGUCCCCUCCUUUGCCCCAAGGCGGCCCCACCGCCGCCCGUGGAAGCCGACCCCCGGCGUCGCGCAGCCCCCGGGCCCGCUUCCUCCCUCCCUGACAUCCUUCCUAUUUUUUUUCUUUCUCAUCUUCCUCCUUGCCAAUCCCUCUCUCCUUCUUCCUUCCUUUUCUCGUUUUUCCUUUUUUUUUCCCCUCUCCCCACGUCCUCCAUCUUCCCCCCUUCUCCCGCCCCCGCCCCGCACAGCGAAAACUCAGACAAGGCUGGCAGAGCCGUCGUGAGCACAUCCUUCACCUUAACCGAACCUCACAAAUUUCGGGACCCUUUCCUAGCCCCAUUACCAACCCCACUCCCAGACUCAAUUCCCAGCCCCGUUCUCAUCC